RNAcentral lists this ribosomal RNA (465 nucleotides) under uncultured bacterium. Its description in RNAcentral is "partial 16S ribosomal RNA". It matches the Rfam family "Bacterial small subunit ribosomal RNA", at positions 338 to 795 of the family's 1533-position model. The record is from RNAcentral.
CCUACGGGAGACUGCAGUGGGGAAUUUUGGACAAUGGGCGCAAGCCUGAUCCAGCUAUUCCGCGUGUGGGAAGACGGCCUUCGGGUUGUAAACCACUUUUGUAGAGAACGAAAGGUCUAUUGAUAAUACCGAUAGAUGAUGACGGUACUCUAAGAAUAAGCACCGGCUAACUACGUGCCAGCAGCCGCGGUAAUACGUAGGGUGCGAGCGUUAAUCGGAAUUACUGGGCGUAAAGGGUGUGCAGGCGGUUUUGCAAGAUGGAUGUGAAAGCCCCGGGCUUAACCUGGGAAAGCCAUACAUGACUGCAAGACUAGAGUGCGUCAGAGGGGGGUGGAAUUCCAAGUGUAGCAGUGAAAUGCGUAGAUAUUUGGAAGAACACCGAUGGCGAAGGCAGCCCCCUGGGACGCAACUGACGCUCAUACACGAAAGCGUGGGUAUCAAACAGGAUUAGAUACCCGAGUAGUC